Brachypodium distachyon (stiff brome) is the source of this 135-nucleotide non-coding RNA. The record is from RefSeq and is marked provisional. NCBI's taxonomy places the organism in Eukaryota, Viridiplantae, Streptophyta, Magnoliopsida, Poales, Poaceae.
GGCAUACUUAAUAGUUACUGCCUCCGAUCCAAAAUAAGUGUCUCAGUUUUGAACUAAGCCUAGUUCAAGCCUAUUUCAAAACUGCGACACUUAUUUUGGAUCGGAGGUAGUAUUAAAGUUCUUGAAGUUUGUACU